RNAcentral lists this ribosomal RNA (346 nucleotides) under uncultured phototrophic eukaryote. RNAcentral describes it as "SSU rRNA". It matches the Rfam family "Bacterial small subunit ribosomal RNA", at positions 475 to 816 of the family's 1533-position model. The record is from RNAcentral.
GUAACUAAGGAAUAAGCAUCGGCUAAUUCCGUGCCAGCAGCCGCGGUAAUACGGAAGAUGCAAGCGUUAUUNCGGAAUUAUUGGGCGUAAAGCGUCUGUAGGUGGCUUUUUAAGUCUACUGUUAAAUAUCAAGGCUUAACCUUNGAAAAAGCGGUAUGAAACUAAAAAGCUUGAGUUUAGUAGAGGUAAAGGGAAUUCUCGGUGUAGUGGUGAAAUGCGUAGAUAUCGGGAAGAACACCUGUAGCGAAAGCGCUUUACUGGGCUAAAACUGACACUGAGNAGACGAAAGCUAGGGGAGCGAAUAGGAUUAGAUACCCUAGUAGUCCUAGCUGUAAACGAUGGAUAC